GGGGUUGUAGCUCAGUGGUAGAGCGCUCGCCUAGCAUGUGUGAGACCCUGGGUUCGAUCCUCAGCACCACA
RNAcentral lists this transfer RNA (71 nucleotides) under Marmota monax (woodchuck). RNAcentral's name for it is "tRNA.Ala". It matches the Rfam family "tRNA". From Rfam's summary of the family: Transfer RNA (tRNA) molecules are approximately 80 nucleotides in length. Their secondary structure includes four short double-helical elements and three loops (D, anti-codon, and T loops). Further hydrogen bonds mediate the characteristic L-shaped molecular structure. tRNAs have two regions of fundamental functional importance: the anti-codon, which is responsible for specific mRNA codon recognition, and the 3' end, to which the tRNAs corresponding amino acid is attached (by aminoacyl-tRNA synthetases). tRNAs cope with the degeneracy of the genetic code in two manners: having more than one tRNA (with a specific anti-codon) for a particular amino acid; and 'wobble' base-pairing, i.e. permitting non-standard base-pairing at the 3rd anti-codon position. Lineage: Eukaryota; Metazoa; Chordata; Mammalia; Rodentia; Sciuridae. The record is from RNAcentral.